Molecule: long non-coding RNA, 1858 nt
Organism: Gavialis gangeticus (Gharial)
Lineage: Eukaryota; Metazoa; Chordata; Crocodylia; Gavialidae
Exons: 7
Source: RefSeq, a predicted model, not a curated record
CCUCCAGCCAAAGGUCUCCGCUCCCUUCCAUGGUCUUCCUCCCCUGACUAGGUGAGCAGCAGCUCAGGCAGCAGAGAGCAUCCCAGCCUGGUGUGGGGCACGUGUGAAAUCCAGCUGGAGGGAGAGGAGCAAGGAUAGGGCAAGCACGCCACCGCAUGGAAGCCAGGGAUGGCAAGAAGAGGCAUCCUUAACCCCUGGGUGCUGGAGGAAGGCGAGCUUAGUAUCCAUCCACUGACUGCAUCCCCGUUUCCAGAGGAUCUUUGGUGACACUCCUGAUUCAAGGAGAGAAUCCAGCCUCCUUGGAGCAGUCAGCCUGCCUGGGGCUGCGCGCAGAGGCAGAAGCCCUUUCGUCUAAGCGGCUGAGAUGUACAACCUAAUUAAACCGGGAUCUCUGCAUCUAUUCUCAUCAUCACAGAGGCCAGCACAGAGCACAGACAGGUCCACGGUACAAUCAGCUGAUGAGCAGAGAAGGGACCGCAUGGGCUGAGGGACCGGGAGCUUACCAGGGUCACGUCUCAGCUCUGACCACCCAGCUGCCCAGCCACUGUGGGAUCAAGGCUAAGCUUGAAGCCUUAAGACCCAGUUCUGGCGUGACUUAGGUCCCGCUCAUGAAAGAUUCUCCAGGGUCUCUGCUGCUACAGAAAACUACAGACUGAAGGGAAGUUGGCAGGCAAGAGGAACACCUGGCAUUGUCCAAAGUUCAGAGCCAUCUUCACAGCACCUGUUUUAGUGCCUAUGGACCCCGAUGAGAACCAGGGGCUCACCACACUGGGUGCUGUACAAGCACACAGCACAAGGCAUUAAUGAGCUACCAUCUAAAAGAGAGAGACAGCAGGCGAAUUCAGCAAAACAAUGGGCUGGCAGGCCAGAGUUCUUUGGAGACGUGGCAAGCCACCUUGUGCCAGUGCUGUACCCCCCUCCCCCUGGGACGGAGCAGCAGGGGGUUCAGGCACCUGGACAAAAAUUAAUAACCGGAGCUACUGUAGCCAAGAUGGAGAAGCCAGCAUUUUCAGAAGCAGCAUAACACUUGAAUACCUAAUGGCCAGCACCAUUGUCCUGAUGUUCAGAGAGGCUAAGUGUCUGCAGAUCCCAUAGGCUUCUGCUGGAGCGACACGGGCUCAUCAGCUCUGAACAAGGAGGUAUUGGGUAUCUUGAGCCGGGCUCCAGAUAACUGAGUCCAAACGAAAAGUACUUCAUCUUGAUGCGGUGUGGUGCUGUGUUGAGAUGCCGGUGCUACUUCAGCCUGUCUGCACAGCACAGUGAAGACUCAUGCCAGAGGUACUGGCUGAAGUCUCAGCUGGAGAUUAGCCAGUGGGGCUAGCCUGGAGCAAAGCACCACUGUCAUGGUUAUGCUGCUUCUAGUGCCAGCUUGGCAUCUCUACAUAGUGCGGCUCUGCAGACAUGUCCUUAGCAGCCAGUUUUGGAAAUGCCAACCUAACCAGGGCAUAGCCUGAGAGGCAGUGAUUGCAGAGCCGGGGUCAGACCACAGGAGUGCUUUGCUCUCCAUUUCAUUGUCGUGCUGCCAGACCUCAGGCAGCGCGAGUCAGUGCAGCUCCUUUAGCACCGGGCACCAAACCACAGCUGCCGAGGCUGCAACUGUUUGUAGCGAGGUGCCCACAACAUGGAGGUGAUUUCUGCUUUAAACGAAUGCUGGCUUUACAACAGGUCCUUCCAUCCAAAGAUUAUUCCCACUCCAUCCUUGGACACCCAUUCAAAGCUUUAGAGCAUCGAACUUGGAGCCUAGUCCAGAGCUCAUUGCAGUUGGUGGGAAGAUUGCGAAUGAUAUCUGGAUUGGGCUGGUGGCUCUGGAUUUGGUACCUCCACCUGGCAGAUGCUGUGGGAGGAGGGAGAGGGAGAG